AUCCAGCUGACGCGUCUCAAACGGGAUGAAACUCGCGUCCUGGAU
This is a non-coding RNA of Schistosoma curassoni, 45 nucleotides long. The record is from Rfam. NCBI's taxonomy places the organism in Eukaryota, Metazoa, Platyhelminthes, Trematoda, Strigeidida, Schistosomatidae.